UGGGGAGUGGAGAAGUAGCAACUCGCCAGGCUCAUAACCUGGAGAUCGCUGGUGCGAACCCAGCCUCCCCGA
RNAcentral lists this transfer RNA (72 nucleotides) under Planctomycetaceae bacterium. Its description in RNAcentral is "tRNA-Met". It matches the Rfam family "tRNA". Rfam says of the family: Transfer RNA (tRNA) molecules are approximately 80 nucleotides in length. Their secondary structure includes four short double-helical elements and three loops (D, anti-codon, and T loops). Further hydrogen bonds mediate the characteristic L-shaped molecular structure. tRNAs have two regions of fundamental functional importance: the anti-codon, which is responsible for specific mRNA codon recognition, and the 3' end, to which the tRNAs corresponding amino acid is attached (by aminoacyl-tRNA synthetases). tRNAs cope with the degeneracy of the genetic code in two manners: having more than one tRNA (with a specific anti-codon) for a particular amino acid; and 'wobble' base-pairing, i.e. permitting non-standard base-pairing at the 3rd anti-codon position. Lineage: Bacteria; Pseudomonadati; Planctomycetota; Planctomycetia; Planctomycetales; Planctomycetaceae. The record is from RNAcentral.